This 409-nucleotide ribosomal RNA is filed under the name uncultured bacterium. RNAcentral's name for it is "bacterial SSU rRNA". It matches the Rfam family "Bacterial small subunit ribosomal RNA", at positions 832 to 1236 of the family's 1533-position model. The record is from RNAcentral.
CCGGNUCUUCCGCGCCGUAGCUAACGCAUUAAAUGCCCCGCCUGGGGAGUACGGCCGCAAGGCUAAAACUCAAAGGAAUUGACGGGGGCCCGCACAAGCGGCGGAGCAUGCGGAUUAAUUCGAUGCAACGCGAAGAACCUUACCAAGGCUUGACAUGCGCCGGUCUGCUCCGGAGACGGGGUUUCCUCCUUUGUGGGGGCUGGUUCACAGGUGGUGCAUGGUUGUCGUCAGCUCGUGUCGUGAGACGUUGGGUUAAGUCCCGCAACGAGCGCAACCCUUGUCUCGUGUUGCCAGCACGUUGUGGUGGGGACUCGCGGGAGACUGCCGGGGUCAACUCGGAGGAAGGUGGGGAUGACGUCAAAUCAUCAUGCCCCUUAUGUCUUGGGCUUCACGCAUGCUACAAUGGCCG